Molecule: long non-coding RNA, 407 nt
Organism: Vigna unguiculata (cowpea)
Lineage: Eukaryota; Viridiplantae; Streptophyta; Magnoliopsida; Fabales; Fabaceae
Source: RefSeq, a predicted model, not a curated record
AGAAUAUAAUCUGUUGCACCCAUCCAAAGAAGUUACCAAGAGUUGGCAAAGAUGGCACAAGAAAUGUCUUCGUAACCUCCAAAAUGUAUAUGAUCAUAUGAAAACUUCUAAUUGACAGUAGGCAAGGUUCAUUGCAAAUUCACCAACUAAUUCAGUUUUUGCAAGUAAAGUUAAUACCCUAUUUCCAAUGGAUAAAUCUUGGAUAGACAUGCCAAGAAACACACCUCAAUAUAUGGAUGGUUUAAACAAAUUUUUGGACUUUGCAUUUGCUAAUAGUGGUGUAAGGGGGAAAAUAGUAUGUCCAUGUCAAAAAUGCAACUUUAACAAAUGGCAGGAUCGUGAAUUAGUGUAUGAGCACUUGAUUCUUAAACCUUUUCCAAAAGGAUAUACAAUGUGGCUUCUACAUG